UAAAGCCCCUUCGACGAGUCGAGUUGUUUGGGAAUGCAGCUCUAAUUGGGAGGUAAAUUUCUUCUAAAGCUAAAUACUGGCCAGAGACCGAUAGCGCACAAGUAGAGUGAUCGAAAGAUGAAAAGCACUUUGGAAAGAGAGUCAAAAAGCACGUGAAAUUGUUGAAAGGGAAGCGCUUGCAGCCAGACAUGCCCGUGGCUGCUCAUCCAGACCCCCCAAGGUCUGGUGCACUCUCCCACGGGCAGGCCAGCAUCGGUUUGAGCGGUUGGAUAAAGGCUCUGGGAAUGUAGCUCCCCUUUGGGGAGUGUUAUAGCCCGUUGCGGAAUGCAGCCAGCUCGGACCGAGGCCCGCGCGCAUGCUAGGAUGCUGGCGUAAUGGCUGUAAGCGGCCCGUCUUGAAACACGGACCAAGGAGUCUAACAUCUAUGCGAGUGUUUGGGUGUCAAGCCCGGGCGCGCAAUGAAAGUGAAUGGAGGUGGAAACCCCUUUGAGGGCGCACCAUCGACCGAUCCUGAUGUCUUCGGAUGGAUUUGAGUAGG
Molecule: ribosomal RNA, 538 nt
Filed under: Posidoniomyces atricolor
Lineage: Eukaryota; Fungi; Ascomycota; Dothideomycetes; Pleosporales; Aigialaceae
Description: partial large subunit ribosomal RNA
Rfam family: Eukaryotic large subunit ribosomal RNA
Source: RNAcentral